This 155-nucleotide unclassified non-coding RNA is filed under the name uncultured fungus. RNAcentral describes it as "partial internal transcribed spacer 2". Lineage: Eukaryota; Fungi. The record is from RNAcentral.
AACGCACAUUGCGCGCACGGGCAUUCCCGUGCGCAUGCGGGGCGGAGCGUUGCUCUUCGUGUUGGGGGCAGCUGCCCCUCAAAUUGAGUCUUCUGACGUCAUGUGCAGACUUGUCUACUCAACCUCCCCCCCGUAGGACUACCCGCUGAACUUAA